RNAcentral lists this ribosomal RNA (268 nucleotides) under uncultured bacterium. RNAcentral describes it as "partial 16S ribosomal RNA". It matches the Rfam family "Bacterial small subunit ribosomal RNA", at positions 86 to 353 of the family's 1533-position model. The record is from RNAcentral.
AGAUGGCGACCGGCGCACGGGUGAGUAACACGUAUCCAACCUGCCGAUAACUCGGGGAUAGCCUUUCGAGAGAAAGAUUAAUACCCGAUGGCAUAAUAGAACCGCAUGGUUUGAUUAUUAAAGAAUUUCGGUUAUCGAUGGGGAUGCGUUCCAUUAGGCAGUUGGUGGGGUAACGGCCCACCAAACCUUCGAUGGAUAGGGGUUCUGAGAGGAAGGUCCCCCACAUUGGAACUGAGACACGGUCCAAACUCCUACGGGAGGCAGCAUG